AUGAUAAAAUCUUUAGGUAUAGCUUAUAGGAACAUAAAUAGUGGCGUGUGCAUCGUGCAUUUGAAAAGAAAAGGGUGGCACUGGCACACUGAUAUGUAUGCUGCCUGCAGGGGUUUUGAAACUCAAUCAUGCUUCAAGCUUCCCACAAGUUCAAUUUCCACCACACUUGAUGGAUAUGUUUGACUUCCCACCCACUCAACACUUAAAAAGAACAGCAACAAUACAAAAGAUACUUGUAGCGUGGCGUGGGUAA
Molecule: long non-coding RNA, 253 nt
Filed under: Prunus dulcis (almond)
Lineage: Eukaryota; Viridiplantae; Streptophyta; Magnoliopsida; Rosales; Rosaceae
Description: sRNA ncRNA
Source: RNAcentral